This 1103-nucleotide long non-coding RNA is filed under the name Mus musculus (house mouse). RNAcentral's name for it is "long non-coding RNA chr13:39676000-39677103". The record is from RNAcentral. Lineage: Eukaryota; Metazoa; Chordata; Mammalia; Rodentia; Muridae.
UAACAGGGACUUUGGAUGCAGUUCAAACUACCAGACAUCAAUAGACAAUGUAGUCCUACGUGCUAGUGACAGUUCUUCUUAACCCUCAUAAUUACCCAAGAUGAAUGUACUUUUUUUUUUCAUUUCAUUUCAGACUUGGAAAAGUCAAGCACACUGUGUUUGCUUAACUCUCACACGGCAAAGCAUCUUGUAGCAGCCAAGCCAGGACUCUAAACCAAGAAAACUGGCUCUGGUUCGUGAGCGUCAAAGUUACACAACACAUUAUGUUCAUUUUACUACAUGUGUCUCAAAAGAAAGUUUCCUUAUGAGUAAGGCAAGGUUUCUGUAGUAAAAAACAAAAAACAAAAAACAAAAAACAAAAACCAGAUAGAGUACUCAUAAGUGGUAAGUGAGUGGAAUGUUUCUACAAGGGGCUAUGUAUCCUUCAAAGACAUGUGGUAAGGGUUGGAGAGAUGUCUCCAUUGUUUGUUACCAGGAUCUAUGAUAGACAGCCCACAAUUGCCUGCAACUGAAACCACAGGGAAUCUGACCUCUUCUGGCCUUCACAGAGGCCUGCAUAUUUGUUCCCACACAGACACACAGACACACUUAGAAAUAAAAAGGUUUGAUAUGUGUGGCAAUGGAGAAACCUAUGUAAAUCAGAAAACAGUGUGUGGUAUUUGGUAGAAGCAGAAACUAAAUAUCAUAUUGAUGGGAAGUUGGGUUUGUAAUUUUUAAUCGGGAUAGUCUAUUAAAAAGGGUAGUGAUGGAUUUUAAAUCCAGAAAACAUUCUCAAUGGCUCAAACUAGUGACUUGGAAGUACCCUGAUACCCACAAGCAAAAGCUGGUGGAACUAAAGAUGACUUUUGGAAGUCAGGGGCUUCCUUCAGGGUGCCAAUGAGGAUAUUUAUAGGAAGGAGUAGGCCAAAUGCUGCAACAUCAGUAUUUGAAGACAUUCAGGGCGAUGGUUGGUAGAAUUUUUCCAGAACUGAAGAAGCAUCGAAUACUCAGACGGAGCAGCAUUUUGAGUAUUAAAAAGUUGGAGCAAAAUGUAACCUUCUUUUAGAGAUCGGGUUUGUAAUAUUAACACACAGACAAAAACAGUGUUAGCUGUUAUUACACAG